Molecule: ribosomal RNA, 467 nt
Filed under: uncultured bacterium
Lineage: Bacteria
Description: bacterial SSU rRNA
Rfam family: Bacterial small subunit ribosomal RNA
Source: RNAcentral
AUUGAACGCUGGCGGCAUGCUUUACACAUGCAAGUCGAACGGCAGCACAGGGAGCUUGCUCCCGGGUGGCGAGUGGCGCACGGGUGAGUAAUACAUCGGAACGUGUCCUGUUGUGGGGGAUAACUGCUCGAAAGGGUGGCUAAUACCGCAUGAGACCUGAGGGUGAAAGCGGGGGAUCGCAAGACCUCGCGCAAUUGGAGCGGCCGAUGCCCGAUUAGCUAGUUGGUGAGGUAAAGGCUCACCAAGGCGACGAUCGGUAGCUGGUCUGAGAGGACGACCAGCCACACUGGGACUGAGACACGGCCCAGACUCCUACGGGAGGCAGCAGUGGGGGAAUUUUGGACAAUGGGGGCAACCCUGAUCCAGCCAUGCCGCGUGCAGGAUGAAGGCCUUCGGGUUGUAAACUGCUUUGUUCUAGGGACGAAAAGGAAGUACGUGAUAAUACCAUGGUCUGCUGACGGUACCUG